RNAcentral lists this long non-coding RNA (1131 nucleotides) under Cricetulus griseus (Chinese hamster). RNAcentral describes it as "lncRNA (ENSCGRG00015031360.1)". Lineage: Eukaryota; Metazoa; Chordata; Mammalia; Rodentia; Cricetidae. The record is from RNAcentral.
CUUCCCUUGUCAUACGUGAGUUCUUCAACUAGACAGACUGGAAACCAUCCUAGACAGAUUAAAUAGCUGUUCAGCAUUUAAUCUGGUGAUGAAGCAUUGUAAAUUCUAUAAGCAUGAAGAGUGACUUAAAUAUCAAACAUACAGUAGAUCUCUUCUGGCAACUGGUAAAAUAGUAUAUUUAAAACAUCAACAAUGGCCUGGCUUGGGCAAUGGCCUUAACCACAAUCACCUGUGUGGCACCAUAACCUGAUAAUCUCACUAGAUCAUAGGGUUGCUUCAGUGGUUUACCAACCUCAGAGAUGUUGGUAUUUGGGUCAGCACAAUUCUUUUCUUGCAAGGAGGCUACCUUGGCUUUUGGUUGUUUGACAGUGUUCCUAGGUAGAUAGUUGUGGCAUAUUCCACAUUCGCUUCAUGUAUGACAACCAGAAACAUCUCCACACAUUACCAAAUGCUUCCUGGAAAACAAUCAUACCUCCUGUCUAUGUGAAGCUGAAAGCUGGAGAACCUGGGAAGGAAUCACAAGAUGGGUCUUAGAGGGACCCUUUACAGAAUCCUUGGAUACUGCUCCCUGAGCACUGGUGUGAGUCCCAACAGGGCAUUUUCAGCUUCUCUACACUUGGAUCUUACCAUCCAGGUAGAAGACUGAUCAUCCACAGCUUCUCCAGAACAUAUUCCUUGCACUGCAGAAGCAUUCUGCAAAAAUGUCCACCAGGCUCCAGCAACUGAGCCACCCAUCUGGGAAACAGCUCCGGAACCCCUUCCGACACCAGGCAGGACAAGCAGCAAUCACUAAACCUCUGCCAGCUCAUUUGCGGCCAGUGUUUUUCACAGAUGCUCCCUGGUACACAUCUGAUGACAGUCACUUCACCUCCCAUUACGUUUUCUAAGAUAUUUUAGAACAUGAGGCAUCAGAAAGAAAGCUGUGUCAGUGGCAUGGACCUGUGUCACUGACAGGCAAAGACUGCCAUGACAAUUGGAAGAAACUAUGGAUUCCACUGUGAAUGUUGCUGGAAGUGAAGGAGACCUGGAAGGAGUGAAGCUGCUCUCAAAAUCAGUGACUUCGUCAACAUAGAGGGUUACUCUCUCAGCCUAGACACACUGGGGAGGGUCCAGGCCCUGCUCCAAAUGAUA